ACACCCCACAUUCAUAAUUUUGUUGUGAAUGGAACUGAGAAUUUCGACUUGUUUGAAUUCUUUAAACUUAUUAGGCCUGAACUAUUGUUCUUUCUGCCUGAACAUUUUUUUAAUAUAAAGGAAUGCUCUAGUAUUAAGACUAUCUCUGGGGCCUCCCAAAUAAAACUUUCUUAA
RNAcentral lists this unclassified non-coding RNA (174 nucleotides) under Mucor hiemalis. RNAcentral describes it as "partial internal transcribed spacer 2". Lineage: Eukaryota; Fungi; Mucoromycota; Mucoromycetes; Mucorales; Mucoraceae. The record is from RNAcentral.